Molecule: transfer RNA, 85 nt
Filed under: Felis catus (domestic cat)
Lineage: Eukaryota; Metazoa; Chordata; Mammalia; Carnivora; Felidae
Rfam family: tRNA
About the family: Transfer RNA (tRNA) molecules are approximately 80 nucleotides in length. Their secondary structure includes four short double-helical elements and three loops (D, anti-codon, and T loops).
Source: Rfam by way of RNAcentral
GCCUGGGUGGCUCAGUCGGUUAAGCAUCCGACUUCGGCUCAGGUCAUGAUCUCACAGUCUGUGAGUUCGAGCCCCGCCUCGGGCU